RNAcentral lists this ribosomal RNA (252 nucleotides) under uncultured bacterium. Its description in RNAcentral is "partial 16S ribosomal RNA". It matches the Rfam family "Bacterial small subunit ribosomal RNA", at positions 524 to 776 of the family's 1533-position model. The record is from RNAcentral.
UACGUAGGUCCCGAGCGUUGUCCGAAUUUAUUGGGCGUAAAGCGAGCGCAGGUGGUUUAUUAAGUCUGGUGUAAAAGGCAGUAGCUCAACCAUUGUAUGCAUUGGAAACUGGUAGACUUGAGUGCAGGAGAGGAGAGUGGAAUUCCAUGUGUAGCGGUGAAAUGCGUAGAUAUAUGGAGGAACACCGGUGGCGAAAGCGGCUCUCUGACCUGUAACUGACACUGAGGCUCGAAAGCGUGGGGAGCAAACAGG